UACACAGAAAACUCAAAGUCAGCUUACAC
Molecule: non-coding RNA, 29 nt
Filed under: Mus musculus (house mouse)
Lineage: Eukaryota; Metazoa; Chordata; Mammalia; Rodentia; Muridae
Source: RNAcentral